GGCAAAAGCUCAAAUUUGAAAUCUGGCGCCUUCGGUGUCCGAGUUGUAAUUUGAAGAUUGUAACCUUGGGGUUGGCUCUUGUCUAUGUUUCUUGGAACAGGACGUCACAGAGGGUGAGAAUCCCGUGCGAUGAGAUGCCCAAUUCUAUGUAAGGUGCUUUCGAAGAGUCGAGUUGUUUGGGAAUGCAGCUCUAAGUGGGUGGUAAAUUCCAUCUAAAGCUAAAUAUUGGCGAGAGACCGAUAGCGAACAAGUACAGUGAUGGAAAGAUGAAAAGAACUUUGAAAAGAGAGUGAAAAAGUACGUGAAAUUGUUGAAAGGGAAGGGUUUGAGAUCAGACUCGAUAUUUUGUGAGCCUUGCCUUCGUGGCGGGGUGACCCGCAGCUUAUCGGGCCAGCAUCGGUUUGGGCGGUAGGAUAAUGGCGUAGGAAUGUGACUUUACUUCGGUGAAGUGUUAUAGCCUGCGUUGAUGCUGCCUGCCUAGACCGAGGACUGCGAUUUUAUCAAGGAUGCUGGCAUAAUGAUCCCAAACCGCCCGU
Molecule: ribosomal RNA, 536 nt
Filed under: Meyerozyma guilliermondii
Lineage: Eukaryota; Fungi; Ascomycota; Pichiomycetes; Serinales; Debaryomycetaceae
Description: partial large subunit ribosomal RNA
Rfam family: Eukaryotic large subunit ribosomal RNA
Source: RNAcentral